AACGUAGGGUGCAAGCGUUGUCCGGAAUUACUGGGUGUAAAGGGAGCGCAGGCGGACCGGCGAGUUGGAAGUGAAAACUAUGGGCUCAACCCAUAAAUUGCUUUCAAAACUGCUGGCCUUGAGUAGUGCAGAGGUAGGUGGAAUUCCCGGUGUAGCGGUGGAAUGCGUAGAUAUCGGGAGGAACACCAGUGGCGAAGGCGACCUACUGGGCACCAACUGACGCUGAGGCUCGAAAGCAUGGGUAGCAAACAGG
Molecule: ribosomal RNA, 253 nt
Filed under: Gemmiger formicilis
Lineage: Bacteria; Bacillati; Bacillota; Clostridia; Eubacteriales; Oscillospiraceae
Description: partial 16S ribosomal RNA
Rfam family: Bacterial small subunit ribosomal RNA
Source: RNAcentral